GCCUGACUGGCUCAGUUGGUAGAGCAUGAGACUCUUGAUCUUGGGGUUGUGAGUUCGAGCCCCAUGUUGGUG
RNAcentral lists this transfer RNA (72 nucleotides) under Canis lupus familiaris (dog). It matches the Rfam family "tRNA". Rfam says of the family: Transfer RNA (tRNA) molecules are approximately 80 nucleotides in length. Their secondary structure includes four short double-helical elements and three loops (D, anti-codon, and T loops). The record is from Rfam by way of RNAcentral. RNAcentral also lists the same sequence under 1 other name. Lineage: Eukaryota; Metazoa; Chordata; Mammalia; Carnivora; Canidae.